UGCCUCGAGUUCNCUUUUUAGACACCUUUC
Molecule: non-coding RNA, 30 nt
Filed under: Mus musculus (house mouse)
Lineage: Eukaryota; Metazoa; Chordata; Mammalia; Rodentia; Muridae
Source: RNAcentral